GCCCGAUUAGCUCAGCUGGAUAGAGCACCGGUUUCCUAAACUGGAGGUCGCGCGUUCAAAUCGCGCAUCGGGCG
This 74-nucleotide transfer RNA is filed under the name bacterium. RNAcentral's name for it is "tRNA-Arg". It matches the Rfam family "tRNA". Rfam says of the family: Transfer RNA (tRNA) molecules are approximately 80 nucleotides in length. Their secondary structure includes four short double-helical elements and three loops (D, anti-codon, and T loops). The record is from RNAcentral. RNAcentral also lists the same sequence under 3 other names.